Molecule: ribosomal RNA, 426 nt
Filed under: uncultured bacterium
Lineage: Bacteria
Description: bacterial SSU rRNA
Rfam family: Bacterial small subunit ribosomal RNA
Source: RNAcentral
UGGGGAAUUUUGGACAAUGGGGGCAACCCUGAUCCAGCCAUGCCGCGUGAGUGAAGAAGGCCUUCGGGUUGUAAAGCUCUUUCGGACGGAACGAAACGGUUACGGUGAAUAUCCGUGACUAAUGACGGUACCGUAAGAAGAAGCACCGGCUAACUACGUGCCAGCAGCCGCGGUAAUACGUAGGGUGCGAGCGUUAAUCGGAAUUACUGGGCGUAAAGCGUGCGCAGGCGGUUCGCCAAGUCAGGUGUGAAAUCCCCGGGCUUAACCUGGGAAUUGCGCUUGAAACUAGCGGGCUUGAGUGCGGCAGAGGGGGGUGGAAUUCCACGUGUAGCAGUGAAAUGCGUAGAGAUGUGGAGGAACACCGAUGGCGAAGGCAGCCCCCUGGGUCAAGAUUGACGCUCAUGCACGAAAGCGUGGGGAGCAAAC